This 293-nucleotide ribosomal RNA is filed under the name uncultured eukaryote. RNAcentral describes it as "partial 18S ribosomal RNA". It matches the Rfam family "Eukaryotic small subunit ribosomal RNA", at positions 6 to 299 of the family's 1831-position model. The record is from RNAcentral.
GGUUGAUCCUGCCAGUAGUCAUAUGCUUGUCUCAAAGAUUAAGCCAUGCAUGUCUAAGUAUAAACUGCUUUAUACUGUGAAACUGCGAAUGGCUCAUUAAAUCAGUUAUAGUUUAUUUGAUGGUACCUACUACUCGGAUAACCGUAGUAAUUCUAGAGCUAAUACGUGCGCACAUCCCGACUUCUGGAAGGGACGUAUUUAUUAGAUUAAAGGCCGACCGGGCUCUGCCCGACUCGCGGUGACUCAUGAUAACUUCACGAAUCGCAUGGCCUUCGUGCCGGCGAUGUUUCAUU